GAGGCUGUGGCGGGAGCUGGGGAGGCUGAGAUUCUGCUGGGCGCCUCCGCCCGGGCGCCUGCUGAGCCCUGGCACACAGGACCCAGGGCCGUGGCGCUCCGUGGGCGGGAAGGCCGGAAAGAACAGCACCUGAGAGCAUGGAUGGGCGCCUUGGGCUCGAUGUUGGAAAUGUGACCUUGAGAAUCUGCUGAGGCUCAUCCACAUGAGACUUAGAACCUGCAUUAUUAAACACACUUUGGGAGUCAAGGAAGGACACCUGGGACUUGUGUAGGCAGUGUCUGAAACCUGGGGAGAGGACAAACCGUCCUUGGGAAGCCUGUUAAGGGAAGAGGCUGAAGUCCACAUGGCAGAAUGACCGUUGUGUUUUUCUCCUCGAUGGAUCUUACCACUUGUCUAUCCCAAGAGAGUGGAAGAGGUGUGACCAACUCUCCUGCCAAUCCAGGUUCUGAAUUCCAGCCUGGCCCACCCAUUGUGUCUGAUGCCUCCUUCAGGAGUCUCCCUGCUUGAGUUGGAUGGAGCUGUCCUAAAGCUGGGAAUUCUAUGAUCUUGUUUAUUCCUGUCCUGGGAAGUUCUUCCCAAUGUCUAACCAAGAUCUGUAAUGCUGAAGCACCAGUUCUUUGACCCUUGGCUUGACAGAAUAAAUUUGAGAGGCUGAAGACAAGACUGAGGAAGAGGCCACAGGAGCUGUGGAAGUCACUCAAAUCCUCCCAGACCAAAAAGAAGAACCUACUUCACCCAGUUGGCCUGAGUUUCCUCUAAAAAGCCUUCCUGGAUUGCCUGAAAGAUGAGGCUAAAUUCUAGCAAGUUGACUGCCUCCUUCGAGAAGUGUUUGAGCAGGACAGAAGUGGGGAGGCCCCAGCCUCCAGCCUGGGCAGCCCAUUACACCUAGAGCCACCCGGGAUAAGACUUGGCCUCACCCUUGCUCUGGUCCUGUCCCAUCCUGGUUUCUCCUGUGUUGUCUGAGCUGAGAUUCCUCUAGAUGGAAGUUCCAUCUCCUGUUUAAUAAAGACUCUUGACUCCUGAACAACAGUACUAGUGGUAGUGGAUGUGCCAGGGUUUGGAGGGGAGGGACUGAAUGAGAGGAGGGCAAUCCUGAGCUCCCUCCAAGAGACCAACACUAGAAGCCACAUUGCAACAGAAGGGGGAGUGGUUGAUUAAGACAGAACUCCCACGGUGGGGGGCCAAGGUGAACAGCUUCCCAAGGCCCCUGGGAAGGCCACCCAUGAUCUGGUGAGUCCCAACUCAAAGCAAUGGGCUGAUGCUCCCAGCCGACACGGCUUCUCAAUACCAUCCCAAGAACCAAGAG
Long non-coding RNA from Molossus molossus (Pallas's mastiff bat), 1306 nucleotides. RefSeq lists it as uncharacterized. The transcript has 7 exons. The record is from RefSeq and is a predicted model, not a curated record. NCBI's taxonomy places the organism in Eukaryota, Metazoa, Chordata, Mammalia, Chiroptera, Molossidae.